CGAGUUGAUCCUGGCUCAGAUUGAACGCUGGCGGAAUGCUUUACACAUGCAAGUCGAACGGUAGAGGGGGCAACCCUUGAGAGUGGCGAACGGGUGAGUAAUAUAUCGGAACGUGCCCAGUCGUGGGGGAUAACGUAGCGAAAGCUACGCUAAUACCGCAUACGAUCUAUGGAUGAAAGCGGGGGAUCGCAAGACCUCGCGCGAUUGGAGCGGCCGAUAUCAGAUUAGGUAGUUGGUGAGGUAAAGGCUCACCAAGCCGACGAUCUGUAGCUGGUCUGAGAGGACGACCAGCCACACUGGGACUGAGACACGGCCCAGACUCCUACGGGAGGCAGCAGUGGGGAAUUUUGGACAAUGGGCGCAAGCCUGAUCCAGCAAUGCCGCGUGCAGGAUGAAGGCCUUCGGGUUGUAAACUGCUUUUGUACGGAACGAAACGGUAAGCUCUAAUACAGUUUGCUAAUGACGGUACCGUAAGAAUAAGCACCGGCUAACUACGUG
This 498-nucleotide ribosomal RNA is filed under the name uncultured bacterium. Its description in RNAcentral is "bacterial SSU rRNA". It matches the Rfam family "Bacterial small subunit ribosomal RNA", at positions 9 to 507 of the family's 1533-position model. The record is from RNAcentral.